This 23-nucleotide non-coding RNA is filed under the name Arabidopsis thaliana (thale cress). Lineage: Eukaryota; Viridiplantae; Streptophyta; Magnoliopsida; Brassicales; Brassicaceae. RNAcentral also lists the same sequence under 3 other names. The record is from RNAcentral.
UGUAACAACUCACCUGCCGAAUC